RNAcentral lists this ribosomal RNA (522 nucleotides) under uncultured bacterium. RNAcentral describes it as "bacterial SSU rRNA". It matches the Rfam family "Bacterial small subunit ribosomal RNA", at positions 1 to 524 of the family's 1533-position model. The record is from RNAcentral.
AGAAGUUUGAUCCUGGCUCAGAUUGAACGCUGGCGGCAUGCCUUACACAUGCAAGUCGAACGGCAGCACGGGGGCAACCCUGGUGGCGAGUGGCGAACAGGUGAGUAAUACAUCGGAACGUGUCCUGUAGUGGGGGAUAGCCCGGCGAAAGCCGGAUUAAUACCGCAUACGCUCUACGGAGGAAAGGGGGGGAUCUUAGGACCUCCCGCUACAGGGGCGGCCGAUGGCAGAUUAGCUAGUUGGUGGGGUAAAGGCCUACCAAGGCGACGAUCUGUAGCUGGUCUGAGAGGACGACCAGCCACACUGGGACUGAGACACGGCCCAGACUCCUACGGGAGGCAGCAGUGGGGAAUUUUGGACAAUGGGGGCAACCCUGAUCCAGCAAUGCCGCGUGUGUGAAGAAGGCCUUCGGGUUGUAAAGCACUUUUGUCCGGAAAGAAAACGCCGUGGUUAAUACCCGUGGCGGAUGACGGUACCGGAAGAAUAAGCACCGGCUAACUACGUGCCAGCAGCCGCGGUAAU